Molecule: ribosomal RNA, 482 nt
Filed under: Salmonella enterica subsp. enterica serovar Typhimurium var. 5-
Lineage: Bacteria; Pseudomonadati; Pseudomonadota; Gammaproteobacteria; Enterobacterales; Enterobacteriaceae
Description: bacterial SSU rRNA
Rfam family: Bacterial small subunit ribosomal RNA
Source: RNAcentral
UUAAAUUGAAGAGUUUGAUCAUGGCUCAGAUUGAACGCUGGCGGCAGGCCUAACACAUGCAAGUCGAACGGUAACAGGAAGCAGCUUGCUGCUUCGCUGACGAGUGGCGGACGGGUGAGUAAUGUCUGGGAAACUGCCUGAUGGAGGGGGAUAACUACUGGAAACGGUGGCUAAUACCGCAUAACGUCGCAAGACCAAAGAGGGGGACCUUCGGGCCUCUUGCCAUCAGAUGUGCCCAGAUGGGAUUAGUUUGUUGGUGAGGUAACGGCUCACCAAGGCGACGAUCCCUAGCUGGUCUGAGAGGAUGACCAGCCACACUGGAACUGAGACACGGUCCAGACUCCUACGGGAGGCAGCAGUGGGGAAUAUUGCACAAUGGGCGCAAGCCUGAUGCAGCCAUGCCGCGUGUAUGAAGAAGGCCUUCGGGUUGUAAAGUACUUUCAGCGGGGAGGAAGGUGUUGCGGUUAAUAACCGCAGCAAUU